CAGGAUCCAGUAAAGACGCAGGCUGCUGACACAGCUGGCGUUAGUGUGAAAGACAAUGAAACGUCAGGCUGCUGGAGGCAUGUAACAGUGACAUCGCUGCUUCUUUGACUCAAAGACAGGAUAAGGAGGUGCUCAACUGACUAUGCUCUGCUUUGUUCUGCCUUCUGCCUUUGGUCUGUAUAUAAGCAGGCUCUGACAGGAACUCAUGGCUGUUCGGUGUUCUGAGAGGCAUCAAGUGACAAUCCUCCUGACUCUGUCUGGUUGUCUUUGUGUUGUUUGUCUUAACGCCUACCCCUGUUUCAGGGAACCCAGCUGACUCCUUGGAGCAGGCUCCCACAGUCGCCCAGUCGUGAGGCCUGACUACAGAGGAUUCCAUGAGAGUGCUCAGAAAAAAAUGGGAUUAUGGCAUCUGUUUGGUCUGUGCUGUGACAUUUGGUUAGCACUCACCUUGUGCUAAAGCUCCAGGAUCUUCACUUCAGACAUCAUCUUGGGUGUGUUUAUCUUCUGGGUGGAGGUCAAAGUCACCUCGUAAUCCAGUUUGCCCAGCCUCCUGGAGUUCACAAGGAUGGUGCUACAUGCAUGGCAGUUACCACCUGCAGGCUGUGUGACCUUGGACAAGCCAGUUCCCCAAAGCUGGAAGAUCCGAGUUCACAGCACACAGACCGUUAAUCGCCAAGAGCGGAAGCUGCCUGAGGGGAGGCUCUGAAAACAGGAGGCGGAUCAAGUUCCGCACCCACAUCCUCUGUAGAAGACACAGGCCUUUUGUUUCUCAUCUCUGCUGCCCUUUGGAUUUGAUCAAGAGCCAACUUGGAAAACAGUGAAGCUGUGGAAGAGGAAGGCUGAGGGGCCACGGCCGCCGCCGUCUCCCCCUAACACCAAGCGUGAGGAGUGUAAGACCCUCCCUCUGAGGCCUGGACCAGGAAGCACUGAUCCCUGUGGUGUUCUCCAACCUCAGAGCCUUCUGUCUCCUGUGGAGAGCUGCCCUUCAAAUGGUUCAGAUGCGUUUUGGCAGUCCUUGAUGGCAUGGCCCUACAGAGGCGCUAUCAGGGUGAGCCCGCCAAGCGUCCCCCUCCCACCUGAGCAUCCCAGGCAGAUCCCUGUGUCAUUAAGAAGGAUCUGUGGGGACCGAAAAGAUGGCUCAGUGGGUGUGAGUGCCAGCUGCACAGCAUUAAGACUCGAGUUCCAAUCCCCAGCACCUACGUAAGAAAGUUACGUGUGGCUGCAUCCUGUUGGCCUGUAAUCCCAGUGCUGGGUAGAGACCAGUGUAUUGUUGGGACUUGUUGGCCUAGCUCCAGAGUCAGGGGGAAACCCUAUCUCAAGGAAAUAAAGCCGAGAGUGACA
Mesocricetus auratus (golden hamster) is the source of this 1341-nucleotide long non-coding RNA. RefSeq lists it as uncharacterized. The record is from RefSeq and is a predicted model, not a curated record. The transcript has 3 exons. Lineage: Eukaryota; Metazoa; Chordata; Mammalia; Rodentia; Cricetidae.